This is an RNA transcript of Salvia hispanica, 4472 nucleotides long. It is a transcript of the gene named cyclin-dependent kinase G-2-like, with no coding region annotated. The record is from RefSeq and is a predicted model, not a curated record. NCBI's taxonomy places the organism in Eukaryota, Viridiplantae, Streptophyta, Magnoliopsida, Lamiales, Lamiaceae.
UUUUAACUUUUAACGCCGUCGCAAUUUGUCUAUCCUCCGUUGCUCAUUCAUUGCAUCUUAUCAUCUUCUACCACCAUACGCCGCCACCACGCGCUUUCUCUCUCUAUAAUUUCCUUCGCAAUCUUCACCGGUAAGCCUUUCCAAUUCUGAUUUAGCACACGGUAGAGGAUAGAUUGAAGAGAUCGCGCGCUGAUUGUUUUUUAGGGUUCUGUAUCCGUUUUCCGAUUUUGUUUGAUUCUAUUGUCCUUCAGUUUUCUUCUGAGUCGGGAAGUAGAAAGGAGGAAUUCGUUUGGUUGUGCGUUGUCUGAUUUGCUAUUUUCUAGUUCCCGCUGCAUCGAAUCCUAAUUUCGAAUUCCGAUUGCGGAAUCUGAGGAGAGGGAACAUUGGAUCGAUUUGCUUCGUGCAAAUUAGGUUUUUGUUUCCUUGCUCAAUUUGAAGAAAUUUGGAUAGAUCGGGCCUGGGUGAAUCGGGGAAAAUUAGUUUACAAACUCAAUUUUAGGGGACUUCUGUCAGGUCUAGGUUCUUUUUUUUUUGUGCAUUCUAGCGGAUUCUUAAUCAGAAUCAUGGCCGCUGGAAGGCACGGGGGUUAUAGAGACAAUGAAUUCAGAGACCGUGAGACAGAUUAUGGAACAACGAGGAAGGAAAUUGGCUCUUUAAAUGGAGAAUAUGAGCGGGGCAGGAAAGGUAGUCGAGAUUUUGAUAGGGGUCAGAUCCGUGGUCGAGACAGUCUCGAGUAUCGAGAUAGGGUCAGGCGAAGAGGUGUUGGAGAAAGGGAGAUGAGGAAUGGUGGACAUCGCUCUACUUCUAGCAGGAGUGAUUCAGGAAGUAGUGGUGGCGGGCCUAGGAGGUGUGGGUAUGCAGUUCGCCCUGUGGAUCGAGAGCCCGGGGAACUGUCUAGUGAUGGAUCUGAUGGUGCUACUGAGGCUGAAAUUCAAUGCAAUAAAGAAACAGAUGUUACAAUAUUGGAUAAUCAGAGACAGUUGUCACCUAUUCAAAAUAAGAAGAGGAAGUUUUCCCCAAUUGUUUGGGACAGAGAUGAUAAGGAUGCCACUCGAUCAGUCAGAAGCACAAAAGUGUUGGAAAGUAGUAACUUGCCGCCACUACCACCACCUCCUCCUUUGCCUGUUCCCCUUAAGUCUAACUCUAUACAUGAUGAUGUGGAACAGACUUCACUGGUUCAAGACAAUGGUGUUCAUGUUUCUGGGGGCCCACCUUCAGACAUUGAUUCACUGCCUUACGUGUCAGAAUUGCCUGGCAUGAUAGAUUCUUCAUUACCCAAAGAAGAAGACAGGGUCAAUGACAUGAUAGCAGAGACAAAUGAUGAAAAUGACUAUGUGCCACGGACUAUAACAUCAUCCCGAUGGGCAAAUGAUGCUGAGUCGCCAUCUGACGAAGGUGAGAUUUCUGAUUAUGAAGACAGCUGGAAGACGAAGAGGAAGUCUGAAUCUGAAUCAGCUGAAGCAAAAGUAGGAAGGAAGUCAAUUAGUCCUGAGCUUGGAGAAUGUUCUGAAGGAACAAAGGUAUGGUCAUUGGGUUCAGAUGAACGUGUAAGGUCUUCCAGUAGAGAUAGUUACAAUGACACCAUUGAUAAGAAUGGCUACAUGGAAGUAGAUGAUGAUCAAAAUAUUGUUUUUAGUGAUGCUAGCCAUUCUGGCACCGAAUCAGAUGAUGAUGUUGGCUCUCAUGGCACACCAGAGCAAGUCCAUCCUCCACAGAGGAGCUUCAAUAUGCUUCAUGGUUGCAGAAGUGUUGAUGAGUUUGAACGACUGAAUAGGAUUGAUGAAGGAACAUAUGGGAUUGUUUUCAGAGCCAAGGACAAGAAAACUGGAGAAGUUGUGGCUCUGAAGAAGGUCAAGAUGGAUAGGGAGAGAGAAGGGUUUCCUUUGACUUCUCUUAGAGAAAUAAAUAUUCUUCUCUCUAUUCAUCACCCAUCCAUUGUGGAUGUUAAAGAAGUUGUUGUAGGGAGCAACCUUGACAGUAUAUAUAUGGUCAUGGAGUACAUGGAACAUGACCUCAAAGGAUUGAUGGAGACAAUGAAACAACCUUAUAGUCAAAGUGAGGUUAAAUGCCUGAUGCUUCAGCUUUUAGAGGGGAUCAAGUAUCUUCAUGAUAAUUGGGUUCUGCACCGUGAUCUGAAAACUUCAAAUCUUCUUUUGAAUAACUGUGGUGAUUUGAAGAUCUGUGACUUUGGACUGGCCCGUCAAUAUGGAAGUCCUCUGAAACCAUAUACUUCCCUGGUCGUGACUUUGUGGUACAGGGCACCAGAACUUCUAUUAGGAGCAAAACAAUACUCCACGGCAAUUGAUAUGUGGUCGUUAGGGUGUAUUAUGGCUGAGCUACUGUCAAAAGAACCUUUGUUCAAUGGGAAGUCAGAGGUUGAGCAGCUUGACAAGAUAUUCAAGAUUCUUGGAACUCCCAAUGAGACAAUAUGGCCUGGGCUUUCUGACCUCCCUGGUGCGAAGGUGAACUUCGCCAAGCACAAGUACAACCUUUUGCGCAAGAAAUUUCCUGCGACAUCUUUUACAGGGACACCUGUACUAUCUGAUGCUGGAUUUGACCUUUUGAACAAGCUUCUAACUUAUGACCCCGAGAAGAGGAUAACUGCUGAUGCUGCUCUCAACCAUGAAUGGUUUCGUGAAGUCCCGUUACCUAAGUCUAAGGAAUUUAUGCCUACUUUUCCUGCUCAACAUGCACAAGACAGGCGCAUGAGAAGAGUAAUGAAGAGUCCAGACCCACUAGAGGAGCUGAAGAGGAAGGAAAAACAAGGGGAACUAGGAACUGGUGGUUUAUUUGGCCAAUAGCUUCCAUUUUAUUAUUAGUUUGGGUUCUGCCAUAGACGGACAUGAUUGAGGUGAGAGCAAAAAGGGAGUUGCAAACAUUGAUUGUGAGACUAUCACUCGUGCUGUUUUUUAUCAGGCACAUGAUCCAGUAGUGGGGAAACUGUCUGGCCUGUACUUGUCAAUCCUAUGUUGCAGGCUGGAUUUUCUUAUUGGGGUUGGCUGACAAUUUGGAUCCAGCUUUGGUGCUUACCCAAAAAGAGGUGGUGAUGUAAAGUGGAUGGGAGAUUCUUAGCUUUUCAUUGCCGAAGAAUUUGACCCCAAGUUUACCACUCUGGAGUAUUCAAGCAAGCAUGCCCGUGAAUUCAGUUACGUAGGUUGGCCCUCUAAAAUGUCAAAAUUAUUUUCUGUCAUACGCUUGUACUGAAGCUCUAGAGGUACACAACAACUUUAUUAUUCUAUUAAAUUAUCUAAGCUACUAUUAUGCACCUUGGCGGUUCUAUGAUUUAUCCUUACCGACACCAGCAGAAAAAAGUAUCCUUCCAGCAAUUUAAUUUUAAGCAGUCAAUUUGCCUGUGACUGAUGAGCAUAAAUACUAUUUAUUGUUUCUUUUCUCCAGCAUAGCUGUUAGUAGGAAAGAUCAUAUGUUUUGCAGCUAGUUCUUAUCAGCUUUGAUUGUUAACACCAUUUUCUUUUUGGUUAUGGUUAUAGACUCUAAUACAUUUUUAUUCAUGUCGAUGACUGAAUCUGUGAUUGAGUUUAUUUAGCAGCCGGGUUGGGUUAACUUGGAGGAAGUUGUUUCUGAUUACCAUUAACCUAUUGGAUUGUACUUUUCAUUAACAGUGGCCAUACAUGCCUAUUGUGGCAGGUAUUCUAGUCCUCUCUAAGUUGGGGAUGCAGGUAUCAAGGUUUUGUGCUUUACAGAUAAGCCAGUACUAACUUGUUAUCGAUUAAUCUAGUUCCUGUGUCUGUGUUGUCCGGAUAAAUUAUUAUGGAUAUGCUUUUGCCACUUAACAAUGUUGACCAUAUAGUUACUAAGUUCUUAACCUUUGAACAUCUGAAUUGUCAUCCACCCUAAACACAUGAUUCAUCAGGUAGUAAAAUCAUAUAUCACGUAACAAGGUAAAUAAUGUCUUCUUUCCAAUGUUUAGUUGCUCUGAACUGCAUAGGAAUAGAUCACUUUUAUGUGCUUGAUAUACAUAGUGCAGAAGGGAACUAAUUUUAGAGCUAUUGGGUUCCUGCUGAGUUAAAUGGAUUGCUAAUAAUCGCAGUAUUUAUUGUCGACAAGUAAAAAGUUACACAGGCUUAUAAACCAAAGGUGAGGCGAUGAACUCUUCAUCCUGCUUGUCAGUUGGUAACGGAAGUUUGGUCUACUUUUUGAUAACUUGACCUUUGUACAGCUAUUUGUAGUCAUUUCACAUUUAUGUGACAAAAGUUCACCGGUGGGAGAGACUGAACUUGAAAGAAGUAGCAGAUUAUGCUGCAAGCUGGGGGACUGUAGUGGCUGUUUUUCGUGACCUUUUACUCCUUUCUCUCGGUGUUGCGUCUCUCUCCCUCUCUCUCUUUUUGUUUCUUCUAUACCAAUAUUGGUUCUCGAUGAAACUGGAUUCUCUGCUUUUUUAUAUGAUAAUUGUUGGAACUUAAUUUGUCAAUUGAUAAUACUCAACAACGAGCAAUUUGAAAUUGAUUUCGUCA